GGCCGAGUGGCUCAAUGGCAGAGCGUCUGACUACGACUAUAUAAGUACAGUAAUCAGGAGGUUCCAGGUUCGACCCCUGGCUUGGUCG
Molecule: non-coding RNA, 88 nt
Organism: Parathielavia appendiculata
Lineage: Eukaryota; Fungi; Ascomycota; Sordariomycetes; Sordariales; Chaetomiaceae
Source: the annotation of a RefSeq genome assembly